CGCUGGGUGGUGCAAUGGUAAGCACACCGGUCCGGCCCACUCCCACCACAUUCCUAAGUGGCGAGUGGGUUUCAAGUCCUCCUAAUUUCCUAAAGGACACUUCCUAAUAGGACCGGAGAUGGGGGUUCGAAUCCCUCCCUAGCGA
This 145-nucleotide transfer RNA is filed under the name Biscogniauxia mediterranea. Its description in RNAcentral is "tRNA-OTHER". It matches the Rfam family "tRNA". Rfam says of the family: Transfer RNA (tRNA) molecules are approximately 80 nucleotides in length. Their secondary structure includes four short double-helical elements and three loops (D, anti-codon, and T loops). Lineage: Eukaryota; Fungi; Ascomycota; Sordariomycetes; Xylariales; Xylariaceae. The record is from RNAcentral.